This 497-nucleotide ribosomal RNA is filed under the name uncultured bacterium. RNAcentral's name for it is "partial 16S ribosomal RNA". It matches the Rfam family "Bacterial small subunit ribosomal RNA", at positions 28 to 507 of the family's 1533-position model. The record is from RNAcentral.
GAUGAACGCUGGCGGCGUGCCUAAUACAUGCAAGUCGAACGAAAAGACGAGGUGCUUGCUCCUCUGACGUUAGCGGCGGACGGGUGAGUAACACGUGGAUAACCUACCGAUAAGACUGGGAUAACUUCGGGAAACCGGAUCUAAUACCGGAUAAUAUAUUGAACCGCAUGGUUCAUUAGUGAAAGACGGUUUUGCUGUCCCUUUGAGAUGGAUCCGCGCCGGAUUAGCUAGUUGGUAAGGUAACGGCUUACCAAGGCUACGAUGGGUAGCCGACCUGAGAGGACGAUCGGCCACACUGGAACUGAGACACGGCCCAGACUCCUACGGGAGGCAGCAGUGGGGAAUUUUGGGCAAUGGGCGAAAGCUUGACGCAGCAAUGCCGCGUGAGUGAUGAAGGCCUUCGGGUUGUAAAGCUCUUUUGGCGGGAACGAAAAAAAGUGUACCAAUACCUCGGCUCGAUGACGGUACCCGCAGAAAAAGCCCCGGCUAACUACGUG